CGGACGGGUGAGUAAUGUCUGGGAAACUGCCUGAUGGAGGGGGAUAACUACUGGAAACGGUAGCUAAUACCGCAUAACGUCGCAAGACCAAAGAGGGGGACCUUCGGGCCUCUUGCCAUCGGAUGUGCCCAGAUGGGAUUAGCUAGUAGGUGGGGUAACGGUUCACCUAGGCGACGAUCCCUAGCUGGUCUGAGAGGAUGACCAGCCACACUGGAACUGAGACACGGUCCAG
This 232-nucleotide ribosomal RNA is filed under the name uncultured bacterium. RNAcentral's name for it is "partial 16S ribosomal RNA". It matches the Rfam family "Bacterial small subunit ribosomal RNA", at positions 99 to 334 of the family's 1533-position model. The record is from RNAcentral.